This 743-nucleotide ribosomal RNA is filed under the name uncultured archaeon. RNAcentral's name for it is "bacterial SSU rRNA". It matches the Rfam family "Archaeal small subunit ribosomal RNA", at positions 120 to 852 of the family's 1478-position model. The record is from RNAcentral.
AGAAAAAUAACCUCGGGAAACUGAGGAUAAUGUUUCAUAGUUGAAUAGGCUUGGAAAAGUUUUUCAAUAAAAGGGAUAAGGAAAAUGGUCCUUAUCUGCUAUAGGAUAGGAUCGUGUUCGAUUAUGGUUGUUGGUGAGGUAAUGGCUCACCAAGCCGAUAAUCGAUAGGGGCCGUGAGAGCGGAAGCCCCGAGAUGGGUACUGAGACAGCGACCCAGGCCUUACGAGGCGCAGCAGGCGCGAAACCUCCACAAUACACGAAAGUGUGAUGGGGUUACCCAAAGUGUUCUUUUAAGAACUGUGGUAGGUGAGUAAUGUUCCCUACUAGAAAGGAGAGGGCAAGGCUGGUGCCAGCCGCCGCGGUAAAACCAGCUCUUCAAGUGGUCGGGAUAAUUAUUGGGCUUAAAGUGUCCGUAGCCGGUUUAGUAAGUUCCUGGUAAAAUCGGGUAGCUUAACUAUCUGCAUGCUAGGAAUACUGUUAUACUAGAGGGCGGGAGAGGUCUGAGGUACUACAGGGGUAGGGGUGAAAUCUUAUAAUCCUUGUAGGACCACCAGUGGCGAAGGCGUCAGACUGGAACGCGCCUGACGGUGAGGGACGAAAGCCAGGGGAGCGAACCGGAUUAGAUACCCGGGUAGUCCUGGCCGUAAACGAUGCAUACUAGGUGAUGGCACGGCCAUGAGCCAUGUCAGUGCCGUAGGGAAACCGUUAAGUGUGCCGCCUGGGAAGUACGGUCGCAAGGCUAA